CCUACGGGUGGCAGCAGUGGGGAAUAUUGGGCAAUGGGCGCAAGCCUGACCCAGCAACGCCGCGUGAAGGAAGAAGGCUUUCGGGUUGUAAACUUCUUUUAAGAGGGAAGAGCAGAAGACGGUACCUCUUGAAUAAGCUCCGGCUAACUACGUGCCAGCAGCCGCGGUAAUACGUAGGGAGCGAGCGUUGUCCGGAUUUACUGGGUGUAAAGGGCGUGCAGCCGGGAGUACAAGUCAGAUGUGAAAUCCCGCGGCUUAACCAUGGAACUGCUUUGGAAACUGUGCAGCUGGAGUGCAGGAGAGGUAAGCGGAAUUCCUAGUGUAGCGGUGAAAUGCGUAGAUAUUAGGAGGAACACCAGUGGCGAAGGCGGCUUACUGGACUGUAACUGACGUUGAGGCUCGAAAGCGUGGGGAGCAAACAGGAUUAGAUACCCCAGUAGUC
RNAcentral lists this ribosomal RNA (442 nucleotides) under uncultured bacterium. RNAcentral describes it as "partial 16S ribosomal RNA". It matches the Rfam family "Bacterial small subunit ribosomal RNA", at positions 338 to 795 of the family's 1533-position model. The record is from RNAcentral.